GAGUGAAAUAGAACCUGAAACCGUGUGCUUACAAGUAGUCAGAGCCCGUUAAUGGGUGAUGGCGUGCCUUUUGUAGAAUGAACCGGCGAGUUACGAUUUGAUGCAAGGUUAAGCAGUAAAUGUGGAGCCGUAGCGAAAGCGAGUCUGAAUAGGGCGUUUAGUAUUUGGUCGUAGACCCGAAACCAGGUGAUCUACCCUUGGUCAGGUUGAAGUUCAGGUAACACUGAAUGGAGGACCGAACCGACUUACGUUGAAAAGUGAGCGGAUGAACUGAGGGUAGCGGAGAAAUUCCAAUCGAACCUGGAGAUAGCUGGUUCUCUCCGAAAUAGCUUUAGGGCUAGCCUCAAGUGAUGAUUAUUGGAGGUAGAGCACUGUUUGGACGAGGGGCCCCUCUCGGGUUACCGAAUUCAGACAAACUCCGAAUGCCAAUUAAUUUAACUUGGGAGUCAGAACAUGGGUGAUAAGGUCCGUGUUCGAAAGGGAAACAGCCCAGACCACCAGCUAAGGUCCCAAAAUAUAUGUUAAGUGGAAAAGGAUGUGGCGUUGCCCAGACAACUAGGAUGUUGGCUUAGAAGCAGCCAUCAUUUAAAGAGUGCGUAAUAGCUCACUAGUCGAGUGACACUGCGCCGAAAAUGUACCGGGGCUAAACAUAUUACCGAAGCUGUGGAUUGUCCUUUGGACAAUGGUAGGAGAGCGUUCUAAGGGCGUUGAAGCAUGAUCGUAAGGACAUGUGGAGCGCUUAGAAGUGAGAAUGCCGGUGUGAGUAGCGAAAGACGGGUGAGAAUCCCGUCCACCGAUUGACUAAGGUUUCCAGAGGAAGGCUCGUCCGCUCUGGGUUAGUCGGGUCCUAAGCUGAGGCCGACAGGCGUAGGCGAUGGAUAACAGGUUGAUAUUCCUGUACCACCUAUAAUCGUUUUAAUCGAUGGGGGGACGCAGUAGGAUAGGCGAAGCGUGCGAUUGGAUUGCACGUCUAAGCAGUAAGGCUGAGUAUUAGGCAAAUCCGGUACUCGUUAAGGCUGAGCUGUGAUGGGGAGAAGACAUUGAGUCUUCGAGUCGUUGAUUUCACACUGCCGAGAAAAGCCUCUAGAUAGAAAAUAGGUGCCCGUACCGCAAACCGACACAGGUAGUCAAGAUGAGAAUUCUAAGGUGAGCGAGCGAACUCUCGUUAAGGAACUCGGCAAAAUGACCCCGUAACUUCGGGAGAAGGGGUGCUCUUUAGGGUUAACGCCCAGAAGAGCCGCAGUGAAUAGGCCCAAGCGACUGUUUAUCAAAAACACAGGUCUCUGCUAAACCGUAAGGUGAUGUAUAGGGGCUGACGCCUGCCCGGUGCUGGAAGGUUAAGAGGAGUGGUUAGCUUCUGCGAAGCUACGAAUCGAAGCCCCAGUAAACGGCGGCCGUAACUAUAACGGUCCUAAGGUAGCGAAAUUCCUUGUCGGGUAAGUUCCGACCCGCACGAAAGGCGUAACGAUUUGGGCACUGUCUCAACGAGAGACUCGGUGAAAUCAUAGUACCUGUGAAGAUGCAGGUUACCCG
This 1533-nucleotide ribosomal RNA is filed under the name Staphylococcus aureus M1107. RNAcentral's name for it is "bacterial LSU rRNA". It matches the Rfam family "Bacterial large subunit ribosomal RNA", at positions 536 to 2072 of the family's 2925-position model. Lineage: Bacteria; Bacillati; Bacillota; Bacilli; Caryophanales; Staphylococcaceae. The record is from RNAcentral.